This 450-nucleotide ribosomal RNA is filed under the name uncultured bacterium. RNAcentral's name for it is "bacterial SSU rRNA". It matches the Rfam family "Bacterial small subunit ribosomal RNA", at positions 355 to 796 of the family's 1533-position model. The record is from RNAcentral.
UGGGGAAUAUUGCGCAAUGGCCGAAAGGCUGACGCAGCAACGCCGCGUGGGUGAUGAAGGCUUUCGGGUCGUAAAGCCCUGUCAGCGGGGAAGAAACUCCGGGGAGCGAAUAGGUCUCCGGAUUGACGGUACCCGCGGAGGAAGCACCGGCUAACUCCGUGCCAGCAGCCGCGGUAAAACGGAGGGUGCGAGCGUUGUUCGGAAUUACUGGGCGUAAAGCGCGUGCAGGUGGUCUUUUAAGUUCCGUGUGAAAUCCCUCGGCUUAACCGGGGAACGGCGCGGAAAACUGGAAGACUUGAGUAUGGGAGAAGAGGGCGGAAUUCCCAGUGUAGAGGUGAAAUUCGUAGAUAUUGGGAGGAACACCGGUGGCGAAAGCGGCUCUCUAGACCAAUACUGACACUCAUACGCGAAAGCGUGGGUAGCAAACAGGAUUAGAUACCCCUGUAGUCC